This 443-nucleotide ribosomal RNA is filed under the name uncultured bacterium. Its description in RNAcentral is "SSU rRNA". It matches the Rfam family "Bacterial small subunit ribosomal RNA", at positions 26 to 518 of the family's 1533-position model. The record is from RNAcentral.
AGAACGAACGCUGGCGGCAGGCUUAACACAUGCAAGUCGAGCGCCCAGCAAUGGGAGCGGCGGACGGGUGAGUAACACGUGGGAACAUGCCCUUUGGUACGGGACAACUCAGGGAAACUUGAGCUAAUACCGUAUGAGCCGGUAACGGGAAAGAUUUAUCGCCAAAGGAAUGGCCCGCGUCCGAUUAGCUAGUUGGUGAGGUAAUGGCUCACCAAGGCACCGAUCGGUAGCCGGUUUGAGAGAACGACCAGCCACACUGGGACUGAGACACGGCCCAGACUCCUACGGGAGGCAGCAGUGGGGAAUCUUGGACAAUGGGGGCAACCCUGAUCCAGCCAUGCCGCGUGAGUGAUGAAGGCCUUCGGGUUGUAAAACUCUUUCGACGGGGACGAUAAUGACGGUACCCGUAGAGAAGCUCCGGCUAACUUCGCACCAGCAGCCGC